Molecule: long non-coding RNA, 1338 nt
Filed under: Mytilus galloprovincialis (Mediterranean mussel)
Lineage: Eukaryota; Metazoa; Mollusca; Bivalvia; Mytilida; Mytilidae
Source: RNAcentral
UUUAUCUUUUCUAUAGAAAAUGUAAAAUAUUUCCAAUUAAGAUUUAUUUAUAAAAAUGACAUUGUAUUUAUCUUAUAUGUAUUAUAUUGUAUGUAUAUCAUGUAUAUGUUGUAAUUGUUGGAAAUAAAAAAAUCAAAAGUUAAAAAAAAAAAAAUUACAGUCAACAUCAUUUGGCAAGCUUUUUAAUAUGAAGGUACACCAUUGCGACCCUCAUAUAAGGAAUUGGAUGAAAUAUUUCUUACAAGUAUCAGCCUUGAAAUUGUAUGAGAAAUCUGGCAUCUCCCUCUUUACCAAUAUGUUCCCCCAGUAUUGAUGUUAACACACCUUACUGUACUCUUGCUUUCAUAGUGUACUCCAGAAUGACUAGGUUUUAAUGCUGAAAUCUUUUUCAAUAGAGAAUGUGGAAAAUAAUCAAAUUAUUUUGAGUCAAAUUACAGAAAAACAUAAGUCUGUGUGGGUUUUUUUUAAUAGGUAUUUGCAAAACUGGCAUAUUCUUAUAUGAAAAAAGAAAAUCUUUGAAUUUUUAUAUGCUCUGACUUUUUCAACUACGAAAAAUUUAAUGAAAUAAUUAGUAUGCAAACAUUAGGAAAAAUGAAUGAAAAACUAAGGUUGCAAAGGGGUUCAAAACAAGAAACACAACCCCUUCCCCUUUAACAACAUUUUCUGUAAUAGUUAACAACUCUUUUUAUAAUCAUUACAAUUUGGUGGCAGGUCUAGCAACUCCUUUUUAAAUUUUAUUUUCAAGAAGAAAAAAAACUCUUAAUACUAACUUGCUGUCAUAAAUUUUAAAUUACUUUUGUUAUAUAACAAAUACAGAUAUCUUUAUAAUAAAGUGGAUGGUACUCAAACUGUUGAUAUUUCAUUGUCAAUAUAAAAAAAAUCAUUGAUAUAAAAAUGGUAUAAACAGAUCUUUUUUCCUCUAUUCAAAAAUAGAAAAUAUCAUUUAGGCAAUAAACAAAUAAAAGUAUUUCCCUCUGUGUCAGUAGAAGUUUGUAAUAUCAAUAAAUAAUAUAUUGCACUAUUCUUAGUUUCUUUCCAGAUUCUUUAGUUUUCUGUCUAACAAGGUGAAUAUGUUAAUAUUUACUUUUUUAGUGGUUCCUUUAAAACUAAUUUCUCUCUGCUUAAUAUUCAUAAAUCACUCAAAAUCACUAGAAAUCACUGUGUUUCACUCAACACCACAGCUAGUGAUUUAUAACACAUGUGUAUUCAAAAUACUGUUAUCGUUUUUUUUAUUUUAGGACAAAAGUCCUACAAUACUGGACUUGAAAGGAAAAUUAAAAUUAUACCCUUUUUUUUUUUUAAUAUACAUGGAUUUGGACUCAAACAGGCAGUAUUUGU